RNAcentral lists this transfer RNA (90 nucleotides) under Acidobacteriota bacterium. Its description in RNAcentral is "tRNA-Ser". It matches the Rfam family "tRNA". From Rfam's summary of the family: Transfer RNA (tRNA) molecules are approximately 80 nucleotides in length. Their secondary structure includes four short double-helical elements and three loops (D, anti-codon, and T loops). Further hydrogen bonds mediate the characteristic L-shaped molecular structure. tRNAs have two regions of fundamental functional importance: the anti-codon, which is responsible for specific mRNA codon recognition, and the 3' end, to which the tRNAs corresponding amino acid is attached (by aminoacyl-tRNA synthetases). tRNAs cope with the degeneracy of the genetic code in two manners: having more than one tRNA (with a specific anti-codon) for a particular amino acid; and 'wobble' base-pairing, i.e. permitting non-standard base-pairing at the 3rd anti-codon position. Lineage: Bacteria; Pseudomonadati; Acidobacteriota. RNAcentral also lists the same sequence under 3 other names. The record is from RNAcentral.
GGAGGAAUGGCAGAGCGGUUGAAUGCGCCGGUCUUGAAAACCGUUAGAGUCGAAAGGCUCUCGGGGGUUCGAAUCCCUCUUCCUCCGCCA